Molecule: unclassified non-coding RNA, 220 nt
Filed under: Hevea brasiliensis (rubber tree)
Lineage: Eukaryota; Viridiplantae; Streptophyta; Magnoliopsida; Malpighiales; Euphorbiaceae
Source: RNAcentral
CUCUGCCGCCGCAGAUGAAUUCGACUGCUCCUACUACUACAACUACUAAUACUGUCACCACUGCUACUAAUACUACAACGGCGAGUAACACUUCGGUGUCAACGACGAGUGCGGGUGCUAAUACUGUAGCGUUUGCGGACGAUCCGUGUAAGAAGAUCCGUAAACCUUAUACUAUCACCAAGUCUAGAGAGAGCUGGACGGAACAAGAGCACGACAAGUU